This is a long non-coding RNA of Cebus imitator (Panamanian white-faced capuchin), 1102 nucleotides long. RefSeq lists it as uncharacterized. The record is from RefSeq and is a predicted model, not a curated record. The transcript is spliced from 6 exons. Lineage: Eukaryota; Metazoa; Chordata; Mammalia; Primates; Cebidae.
UGUGAUUUGACUCAGGCAUGUUUAAAAGGUAGCUCUUGUACCAUGGAGAUGAAGAUUUGAUCCUGCAUUGCUCCUGAGGUCCCACGAAGCUGAACCCUAUAGAGAGAAACAUGGGCUAUAUCUUGCCACCUGAUUCCCAUUUGAGUUUGGUCGAGGGGAAGGACCAAGAGGAACUUGGAGAUCAAAAGGAAAAAGAGAACCAAUAAUGCACACCUACCAAAGGGCUACUUUGCACUCCACUGGGGCAGUGAAGGACCAUGAGCAAUUCUCCAAUGGUGAAGAUUGAUCCCAGUCAUGUAAAAAUAAGCUGCCACCUCUGGAGGAGCUGAGAAAUAUUGCCAAAAAAUAAGAGUUACUCUAAUAUUAAAAGGAGGACAGUCGGGAGUUGGCCCCAUCUCUUUUCCCUGUCCUGGUCCUAAGCCCAUCCUUUUCCUUUAUUCACUAGAUGGUCCAAAAUGCAUGCAGUUUCUCUUCCAGCCAGUCUCCUCAUUUCCUGGGACUGCAUCUGCCACUGGAGCAAAUCUGCUACUUUCUAAAGGUGAUCUAAUCGUAAAGAUGCCAACUGCAGUUAAGUGUCUCAAUAUUUCCAAGGGUUUAUAACUCGGCUAUAAAAAUUCACUUUAGGCUACAGCUUGAUGUAUAAUUUCUCAGCCCAGGAGUGAAUUUCUUUAACCAUUCCCUUUAAUUCAACACUACUUGAUUCAAUGUAUCUUUCAUGCUCUAAUAAUAUAUGUUCAUGAGUUGUUACCAUGUCAAUACAAAUCAUGUCCCUUGCUAAAGUAAUUACUGAGGGUAAAUAUGAAAAAAGUUAGAAUUUCACUGAUUCGGAGUUUGUGAAAAGAAAAUAGUAUUGAUCUUUUAUGUUACCCUCUCUUCUAUUCCUCCUUCUACUGGUAAAUCUUCCAUCUAUGAAUCCAGAAAGUUUUCUUAUACUCAAAAUAAAUAUAUUAUGGCAUUUGUAGGAUCCUGGCUUCUUUGCAGGGGGUUGUGUCUAAUUUUUGUUUCACGAUCUGGGUUCAAAUUAAGGUACAUCAUUUGACUAAAGGAUUGACUGGAUAUUCUAUAUCUUGAUAACCAGAAUUUGUAGAACUGAAGUAUUUAG